This 253-nucleotide ribosomal RNA is filed under the name uncultured bacterium. RNAcentral describes it as "partial 16S ribosomal RNA". It matches the Rfam family "Bacterial small subunit ribosomal RNA", at positions 524 to 776 of the family's 1533-position model. The record is from RNAcentral.
UACAGGGGGUGCAAACGUUGCUCGGAAUUAUUGGGCGUAAAGCGCGCGUAGGCGGCUACUUAAGUCGGAUGUGAAAGCCCUUGGCUCAACUGAGGAAGUGCACCCGAAACUGAGUGGCUAGAGUACGAAAGAGGGUCGCGGAAUUCCCGGUGUAGAGGUGAAAUUCGUAGAUAUCGGGAGGAACACCGGUGGCGAAGGCGGCGACCCGGGUCGAUACUGACGCUGAUGCGCGAAAGCGUGGGGAGCAAACAGG